CAACUUUGAGCAACGGAUCUCUUGGCUCUCCCAUCGAUGAAGAACGCAGCGAAAUGCGAUAAGUAAUGUGAAUUGCAGAAUUCAGUGAAUCAUCGAAUCUUUGAACGCACCUUGCGCCCUUUGGUAUUCCGAAGGGCAUGCCUGUUCGAGUGUUAUU
RNAcentral lists this ribosomal RNA (157 nucleotides) under uncultured Agaricales. RNAcentral describes it as "5.8S ribosomal RNA". It matches the Rfam family "5.8S ribosomal RNA". From Rfam's summary of the family: 5.8S ribosomal RNA (5.8S rRNA) is a component of the large subunit of the eukaryotic ribosome. It is transcribed by RNA polymerase I as part of the 45S precursor that also contains 18S and 28S rRNA. The record is from RNAcentral. Lineage: Eukaryota; Fungi; Basidiomycota; Agaricomycetes; Agaricales.